This 70-nucleotide transfer RNA is filed under the name Neobythites unimaculatus. RNAcentral's name for it is "tRNA-Ala". It matches the Rfam family "tRNA". From Rfam's summary of the family: Transfer RNA (tRNA) molecules are approximately 80 nucleotides in length. Their secondary structure includes four short double-helical elements and three loops (D, anti-codon, and T loops). Lineage: Eukaryota; Metazoa; Chordata; Actinopteri; Ophidiiformes; Ophidiidae. The record is from RNAcentral.
AAGAUCUUUAGCUUAAUUAAAGUACCUGCCUUGCACGCAGGUGAUGUGGGAUAAUGGCCCGCAAGUCUUA